UGUGAAGAAGGCCUUCGGGUUGUAAAGCACUUUCAGUCGUGAGGAAGGUAGUGUAGUUAAUAGCUGCAUUAUUUGACGUUAGCGACAGAAGAAGCACCGGCUAACUCCGUGCCAGCAGCCGCGGUAAUACGGAGGGUGCGAGCGUUAAUCGGAAUUACUGGGCGUAAAGCGCAUGCAGGUGGUUUGUUAAGUCAGAUGUGAAAGCCCGGGGCUCAACCUCGGAAUUGCAUUUGAAACUGGCAGACUAGAGUACUGUAGAGGGGGGUAGAAUUUCAGGUGUAGCGGUGAAAUGCGUAGAGAUCUGAAGGAAUACCGGUGGCGAAGGCGGCCCCCUGGACAGAUACUGACACUCAGAUGCGAAAGCGUGGGGAGCAAACAGGAUUAGAUACCCUGGUAGUCCACGCCGUAAACGAUGUCUACUUGGAGGUUGUGGCCUUGAGCCGUGGCUUUCGGAGCUAACGCGUUAAGUAGACCGCCUGGGGAGUACGGUCGCAAGAUUAAAACUCAAAUGAAUUGACGGGGGCCCGCACAAGCGGUGGAGCAUGUGGUUUAAUUCGAUGCAACGCGAAGAACCUUACCUACUCUUGACAUCCAGAGAACUUUCCAGAGAUGGAUUGGUGCCUUCGGGAACUCUGAGACAGGUGCUGCAUGGCUGUCGUCAGCUCGUGUUGUGAAAUGUUGGGUUAAGUCCCGCAACGAGCGCAACCCUUAUCCUUGUUUGCCAGCGAGUAAUGUCGGGAACUCCAGGGAGACUGCCGGUGAUAAACCGGAGGAAGGUGGGGACGACGUCAAGUCAUCAUGGCCCUUACGAGUAGGGCUACACACGUGCUACAAUGGCGCAUACAGAGGGCAGCCAACUUGCGAAAGUGAGCGAAUCCCAAAAAGUGCGUCGUAGUCCGGAUUGGAGUCUGCAACUCGACUCCAUGAAGUCGGAAUCGCUAGUAAUCGUGGAUCAGAAUGCCACGGUGAAUACGUUCCCGGGCCUUGUACACACCGCCCGUCACACCAUGGGAGUGGGCUGCAAAAGAAGUAGGUAGUUUAACCUUCGGGGGGACGCUUACCACUUUGUGGUUCAUGACUGGGGUGAAGUCGUAACAAGGUAGCGCUAGGGGAACCUGGCGCUGGAUCACCUCCUUAAACGAUGAU
Molecule: ribosomal RNA, 1146 nt
Filed under: Vibrio parahaemolyticus
Lineage: Bacteria; Pseudomonadati; Pseudomonadota; Gammaproteobacteria; Vibrionales; Vibrionaceae
Description: bacterial SSU rRNA
Rfam family: Bacterial small subunit ribosomal RNA
Source: RNAcentral